GUCGACGGUGAAGCCAAGCUUGCUUGGUGGAUCAGUGGCGAACGGGUGAGUAACACGUGAGCAACCUGCCCUGGACUCUGGGAUAAGCGCUGGAAACGGCGUCUAAUACUGGAUAUGAGCUCCUUCCGCAUGGUGGGGGUUGGAAAGAUUUUUCGGUCUGGGAUGGGCUCGCGGCCUAUCAGCUUGUUGGUGAGGUAAUGGCUCACCAAGGCGUCGACGGGUAGCCGGCCUGAGAGGGUGACCGGCCACACUGGGACUGAGACACGGCCCAGACUCCUACGGGAGGCAGCAGUGGGGAAUAUUGCACAAUGGGCGGAAGCCUGAUGCAGCAACGCCGCGUGAGGGAUGACGGCCUUCGGGUUGUAAACCUCUUUUAGCAGGGAAGAAGCGAAAGUGACGGUACCUGCAGAAAAAGCGCCGGCUAACUACGUGCCAGCAGCCGCGGUAAUACGUAGGGCGCAAGCGUUAUCCGGAAUUAUUGGGCGUAAAGAGCUCGUAGGCGGUUUGUCGCGUCUGCUGUGAAAUCCCGAGGCUCAACCUCGGGCCUGCAGUGGGUACGGGCAGACUAGAGUGCGGUAGGGGAGAUUGGAAUUCCUGGUGUAGCGGUGGAAUGCGCAGAUAUCAGGAGGAACACCGAUGGCGAAGGCAGAUCUCUGGGCCGUAACUGACGCUGAGGAGCGAAAGGGUGGGGAGCAAACAGGCUUAGAUACCCUGGUAGUCCACCCCGUAAACGUUGGGAACUAGUUGUGGGGACCAUUCCACGGUUUCCGUGACGCAGCUAACGCAUUAAGUUCCCCGCCUGGGGAGUACGGCCGCAAGGCUAAAACUCAAAGGAAUUGACGGGGACCCGCACAAGCGGCGGAGCAUGCGGAUUAAUUCGAUGCAACGCGAAGAACCUUACCAAGGCUUGACAUAUACGAGAACGGGCCAGAAAUGGUCAACUCUUUGGACACUCGUAAACAGGUGGUGCAUGGUUGUCGUCAGCUCGUGUCCUGAGAUGUUGGGGUUAAGUCCCCGCAACGAGCGCAACCCUUCGUUCUAUGUUGGCAGCCACGUAAU
RNAcentral lists this ribosomal RNA (1059 nucleotides) under Microbacterium sp. RNAcentral's name for it is "bacterial SSU rRNA". It matches the Rfam family "Bacterial small subunit ribosomal RNA", at positions 61 to 1130 of the family's 1533-position model. Lineage: Bacteria; Bacillati; Actinomycetota; Actinomycetes; Micrococcales; Microbacteriaceae. The record is from RNAcentral.